GAUGAAGAACGUAGUGAAAUGCGAUAAGUAGUGUGAAUUGCAGAAUUCAGUGAAUCAUCGAAUCUUUGAACGCACAUUGCGCCCCUUGGUAUUCCAUGGGGCAUGCCUGUUCGAGCGUCAUUUGUACCUUCAAGCUUUGCUUGGUGUUGGGUGUUUGUCUCGCCUUUGCGUGUAGACUCGCCUUAAAAUAAUUGGCAGCCGGCGUAUUGAUUUCGGAGCGCAGUACAUCUCGGGCUUUGCACUCAUAACGACAGCGUCCAAAAGUACAUUUUACACUCUUGACCUCGGAUCAGGUAGGGAUACCCGCUGAACUUAAGCAUAUCAAUAAGCGGAGGA
Molecule: unclassified non-coding RNA, 336 nt
Filed under: soil metagenome
Description: partial contains 5.8S ribosomal RNA, internal transcribed spacer 2, and large subunit ribosomal RNA
Rfam family: 5.8S ribosomal RNA (bases 1-120)
Source: RNAcentral